This 496-nucleotide ribosomal RNA is filed under the name uncultured bacterium. Its description in RNAcentral is "partial 16S ribosomal RNA". It matches the Rfam family "Bacterial small subunit ribosomal RNA", at positions 28 to 506 of the family's 1533-position model. The record is from RNAcentral.
GACGAACGCUGGCGGCGUGCCUAAUACAUGCAAGUUGAGCGCUGAAGGUUGGUACUUGUACCAACUGGAUGAGCAGCGAACGGGUGAGUAACGCGUGGGGAAUCUGCCUUUGAGCGGGGGACAAUAGUUGGAAACGAAUGCUAAUACCGCAUAAAAACUUUAAACACAAGUUUUAAGUUUGAAAGAUGCAAUUGCAUCACUCAAAGAUGAUCCCGCGUUGUAUUAGCUAGUUGGUGAGGUAAAGGCCCACCAAGGCGAUGAUACAUAGCCGACCUGAGAGGGUGAUCGGCCACAUUGGGACUGAGACACGGCCCAAACUCCUACGGUAGGCAGCAGUAGGGAAUCUUCGGCAAUGGACGAAAGUCUGACCGAGCAACGCCGCGUGAGUGAAGAAGGUUUUCGGAUCGUAAAACUCUGUUGGUAGAGAAGAACGUUGGUGAGAGUGGAAAGCUCAUCAAGUGACGGUAACGACCCAGAAAGGGACGGCUAACUACGU